RNAcentral lists this ribosomal RNA (492 nucleotides) under uncultured bacterium. Its description in RNAcentral is "partial 16S ribosomal RNA". It matches the Rfam family "Bacterial small subunit ribosomal RNA", at positions 29 to 507 of the family's 1533-position model. The record is from RNAcentral.
AGUGAACGCUGGCGGUGGGCCUAACACAUGCAAGUCGAACGGCAGCACACUAAGAGCAUGCUGUUCCGGGUGGCGAGUGGCGGAUGGGUGGGGAGUAAAUCGCAACCUACUUUUUCGUGGGGGAUAACGUAGGGAACUUUACGUUAAUACCGCAUACGUGCUACGGGUGUAGUCAGGAGAUCUUCGUACCUUGCGCAUUAGCUUGCGCCGUUGUCGAGUGAGCUAGUUGGCGGGGCAAAGGCCCACCUAGGCGAAGAGCCGUAGCUGGGCUGAGAGGAUGAGCAGCCACACUGGAACUGAGACACGGUCCAGAAUUCUACGAGAGGCAGCAGUGGGGAAUAUUGCACAAGGGGCGCAUGCCGGACCCAGCCAUACCGCGUGGGUGAGGAAGGCCUUCGGGGUGUAGAGCCCUUUUGUUGGGAAAGAAAAGCAGCAGGUUAAUAACCCGCUGUUCUGACGGUACCCAAAGAAUAAGCACCGGCUAACUUCGUG